UAUUGCACAAUGGGGGAAACCCUGAUGCAGCAACGCCGCGUGAGUGAAGAAGUAUUUCGGUAUGUGAAGCUCUAUCAGCAGGGAAGAAGAUGAUGGUACCUGAUUAAGAAGCCCCGGCUAACUACGUGCCCGCCGCCGCGGUAAUACGUAGGGGGCAAGCGUUAUCCGGAUGUACUGGGUGUAAAGGGAGCGCAGACGGCAGUGCAAGUUUGGAGUGAAAGCCCGGGGCCCAACCCCGGAACUGCUCUGGAAACUGUGCGGCUAGAGUACUGGAGGGGCAGGCGGAAUUCCUAGUGUAGCGGUGAAAUGCGUAGAUAUUAGGAGGAACACCAGUGGCGAAGGCGGCCUGCUGGACAGUAACUGACGUUGAGGCUCGAAAGCGUGGGGAGCAAACAGG
Molecule: ribosomal RNA, 397 nt
Filed under: uncultured bacterium
Lineage: Bacteria
Description: bacterial SSU rRNA
Rfam family: Bacterial small subunit ribosomal RNA
Source: RNAcentral